GGCCAAUCUACACCCCAUGGCCAUUAAAAGUUAUUCAAAUCAUGACGCUGCACCCCAUGGUUUAGGUUCUAGGGGGCGCCAAAGAUAACCCUAAGAUCCACAUAUUUAAAAGUCUUAUAACUUUUUAUUUUUGCCCUCACUGGCCUCCAAGUUUUCUAGGAUGAUGCAAUGUCCAGCCAUCAACACAUUUGUGAAGGAAUUUUUACUCCCCAAAAGAGCGCCCCCCAUGGCAGGAGAAAAAAGUCCAUUUUUUCUUGUCCCCUAAGGUGAAAAUACACAUUGUUGAGUGUCACGCCUAUACGCUUUGUCAAAAUGACACAAAAAUUGACACACACAUGUAACUCAAUAAGAUCUACGAAAAAGUCAAUGCGUGCGUAUCUGUCAAAUGUACGGUUAAAGGGUUAUUCCGCAUUUUUUGCCGAUCCGCACACAUUGGAAUUUCGCUAACUCCUCCGAAGGCUUUCGUUCCACCGGCACCACAUUUGCUCAGGCCAAUCUACACCCCAUGGCCAUUAAAAGUUAUUCAAAUCAUGACGCUGCACCCCACGGUUUAGGUUCUAGGGGGCGCCAAAGACAACCCUAAAAUCCACAUAUUUAAAAGUCUUAUAACUUUUUAUUUUUGUCCUCACUGGCCUCCAAGUUUUCUAGGAUGAUGCAAUGUCCAGCCAUCAACACAUUUGUGAAGGAAUUUUUACUCCGCAAAAGAGCGCCCAUCCAUGGCAGGAGAAAAAAGUCCAUUUUUUCUUGUCCCCUAAGGUGAAAAUACAUAUUGUUGAGAUUCACGCCUAUACGCUUUGUCAUAUUGACACAAAAUUUGACAAUCAUGUGUAUCUCAAUUAGAUCUACGAAAAAGUCAAAGAGCGCGUAUCUGUAUAAUGUACGGUUAAAGGGCUAUUUUGCAUUUUUUGCCGAUUCGCACACAUUGGAAUGUGGCUAUCUCCUCCUAAGGCUUUCGUCCCACCGAUACCAAAUUUGCUCAGGGCAAUCUACACCCCAUGCCCAUUCAAAGUUGUAAAAAUCAUGACGCUGCACCCCACGGUUUACGUUCUAGGGGGCGCCAAAGAUGACCCAAAAAUCCACAUUCUUAAAAGUCAUUUUGGCCACUGCAGGAGUACAGAGUACUGCAGUUCUAGGGGGCGCCAAAGAUGACCCAAAAAUCCACAUUCUUAAAAGUCUUUUUGGCCACUGCAGGAGUACAGAGUACUGCAGGAUACACACACAUAUACACACACGCCAACAUACACACACACACACACACACACACACACACACACAGACACACACACACACUCAGAGUCUGUUUUUUAGCACCUGCAAAAACAUGCUGUUUACAUAUUUGACAAGAAUGCAGAGGCUUCCUUUUGCCCCUGAAAAAAAUCAAAUUUCAAACACAACUUGACUGGUCAUUUCUCCAAAAGACAACCAUGAAUCAAAUUUCAAACACAACUUGACUGGUCAUUUCUCCAAAAGACAACCAUGAAGCUCCAUCCAAACCUGAAGCAGGCAGUUGGUGCAUGUGUACAGUAACCUGAGGGGAGUGAGGUGACUGCUUCUGAGGAGAACAUGAGCACUGAAGAUUCACCUUGGAGCUAGAACAGGGACGUGCACAUGAUAAUACAGGGGCAGGGGCUCAAGUUUUUUCCAGUCGUUUAUACAAUAUGGAAAUUAAUGUGAAAUUAAAAAACAAAGUAUGACUGUCCUGUGUAGGUGACAGUGAUAUCCAAUAGACUAGGCACUCACGAGGCUGGCUGUGGCAAGUGUAAGUGAAAGCAACACGCACUGGCAGGAAGAACAGCAAACGCCGAUGAAGGAAAAGGGUCUUUGCAGUGAUGGGCGUUACCAGAGAGGGCGAUGGCCAGAGGACACGAAUGGGACGGGGAGGCAGCGCGUUGGGGGGGGGGGGGGGGGGGGGGGCGCGACACGGCUCGGGCCCGCCAGUGCCCCAACGGGGCCCUAGUCUUUGUUUCUUUCUUUCUUCUUUUUCCUCCCCUUUGAACUGGAAAAUGGCCCACUUCCCACUGGCGAAAACUCAUGAAAUUUGGCAGGAUGACCGGGCCUGGUGAAAAAUUUGAUAUUCCGAAGUCGCCCAAACAAGAAAAUGCAAAAUGGCUCCAUAGCGCCCCCUAAGGUGAAAAUUCACACUAUUGACUGUCACGCCUUUACGCUUUGUCAAAAUGACACAAAAAUUGACACACAUAUGUAUCUCAAUAAGAUCUACAAAAAAGUCAGUGCGGGCGUAUCUGUCAAAUGUACGGUUAAAGGGUUAUUUCGCAUUUUUUGCCGAUCCGCACACAUUGGAAUUUCGCUAACUCCUCCGAAGGCUUUCGUUCCACCGGCACCACAUUUGCUCAGGCCAAUCUACACCCCAUGGCCAUUAAAAGUUAUUCAAAUCAUGACGCUGCACCCCACGGUUUAGGUUCUAGGGGGCGCCAAAGAUAACCCUAAAAUCCACAUAUUUAAAAGUCUUAUAACUUUUUAUUUUUGCCCUCACUGGCCUCCAAGUUUUCUAGGAUGAUGCAAUGUCCAGCCAUCAACACAUUUGUGAAGGAAUUUUUACUUCCCAAAAGAGCGCCCCCCCAUGGCAGGAGAAAAAAGUCAAUUUUUUCUUGUCCCGUAAGGUGAAAAUACACAUUGUUGAGUGUCACGCCUGUACGCUUUGUCAAAAUGACACAAAAAUUGACACACACAUGUAUCUCAAUAAGAUCUACAAAAAAGUCCGUGAGCGCGUAUCUGUCAAAUGUAAGGUUAAAGGGUUAUUCCGCAUUUUUUGCCGAUUCGCACACAUUGGAAUUUCGCUAACUCCUCCGAAGGCUUUCGUUCCACCGGCACCACAUUUGCUCAGGCCAAAUUACACCCCAUGGCCAUUAAAAGUUAUUCAAAUCAUGACGCUGCACCCCACGGUUUACGUUCUAGGGGGCGCCAAAGAUAACCCAAAAAUCCACAUUUUUAAAAGUCUUAUAACUUUUUAUUUUUGUCCUCACUGGCCUCCAAGUUUUCUAGGAUGAUGCAAUGUCCAGCCAUCAACACAUUUGUGAAGGAAUUUUUACUCCCUAAAAGAGCGCCCCCCCCAUGGCAGGAGAAAAAAGUCCAUUUUUUCUUGUCCCCUAAGGUGAAAAUACACAUUGUUGACUGUCACGCCUGUACGCUUUGGCAAAAUGACACAAAAAUUGACAAUCAUGUGUAUCUCAAUUAGAUCUACGAAAAAGUCAAAGAGCGCGUAUCUGUAUAAUGUACGGUAAAAGGGCUAUUUUGCAUUUUUUGCCGAUUCGCACACAUUGGAAUUUCGCUAACUCCUCCUAAGGCUUUCGUCCCACUGACACCAAAUUUGCUCAGGCCAAUCUACACUCCAUGGCCAUUCAAAGUUGUAAAAAUCAUGAUGACCCAAAUAUACAUUACAGUAGACAAAGUAGUUUUGCCCACUGAGUGGCGCCAAAGGGACUUGUCUGUGGAGUCUGUGAGUCACUAUUGGCCGUUUUUGACUACUUUAGAUUUUACCUUUAUAUUUCCUCUUACAAAAUUUUUACCUUGCCUUGCCUGGUAUCAUUUUUUUCAGCACAACCUCACCUGUGUCAAUUUACAGUUAUUUUAUCAUUUUGACAUACUAUAUUUACACAUUGGACCCAAAUUCACACACAAAACAUAAAAUCCGAGUGGAAAAAAGUAACGUUUUUACUGUGAAAACCACAAAUAUGUGUGAUGAACUGUUUUUAAAACUUAAACUUCAAAUAAAAAUUGUAAACUUCAAAACAUAUGCAAAUUUUUAACAAAGAACAUAGUAAUUUACCUCUAUUUACAUCAAAAUGCAGGCAAUGGCCCAGGUGUUCUUUGUAAAAUUAUUUACAAAACACUGUAUAGUCUCACAAAUGUCACUUUUUAUUUAUGCCACUACAAAAAAACAUGAUGUAAAUGAUGCAUGAUGUAAAACAUGAUGUAAAAAACUUGUGUAGAUCCUCCUCUAUGUUAGUCCAUGUGUAAUUUUUCCAUAAUUCUUUGUUUUUUGCAGCAUUUUUGUUAGUGUAACUGCAGAUUGUGCUGACAGUGUCUAUGGCACAAAAAAAAAAAAAAACUGAAAAUGCCUCAACAUGAACCCCUGGUGGUCUCUGAGGGUGAAACCUGCUAACUGCUGCAGCUCUGUCAGCUUCAGUCUCCCAUGCAGAGCUCGGAGCGCAUGUGUGGCUCUGCACCCUUAGCAGCGUUGCUAACUCCUCAGUAAGGAAAGCCUGCUUCAUGUCAGAGUCUCUAAACUCCAGAAGAAGUCGAUAAAAGUCACUUUCUUUCUAAAAAAAAGUCGUUAGGGGGUCUGAAAAGUCAUUGAAUCUAACAACAAAGUCGCUAGGUUUGCAACUACGUGUCCCAGACUGCAUCCCUGCUGAGAGUCCCUCCCUCCCUUCUCAUAUUGCAGGAAGAACGUAAGCGCCCGCCCCUUGUCAAUCAGUCACCAUAUAAUUUUGGAUUGGUUGUUGUGGUGAAGUUUUCCACCAAUAGGAGAGAUGUUGUGGUGUGCUUUUUUUUUCCUUUGGCAAGCCUUUUCCGCCUGUAAGACCUGUCGCUAAUGUCUGCAUGCUAUGUUUUCCUGUCUCAUACAGCGCGAUCGAGCGCCGACCGUGAUCAAAAUAAGCAGAAAACAAGUAUCGCGGACAUAAUUUAUCAUAACUCUGGUUUUAUUUGGCCUAUCAACACAAUUUAAAAACUGGUAUAUAGGUUGAGGUCAUCACUUUUGAGAUAAGUUGAAACGGAGAGUCAACGAGGCUCCGUCUUGCAGCUACAUCCGGUUAAAUAUGUCAUGUGACUUGAACGCACACACACACACACACACAGACACACACACACACGCACACACACACACUCAGAGUCUGGUUUUUAGCACCUGCAAAAACAUGCUAUUUACAUAUUUGACAAGAAUGCAGAGGCUCCUUUUGCCCCUGAAAAAAAUCAAAUUUCAAACACAACUUGACUGGUCAUUUCUCCAAAAGACAACCAUGAAGCUCCAUCCAAACCUGAAGCAGGCAGUUGGUGCAUGUGUACAGUAACCUGAGGGGAGUGAGGUGACUGCUUCUGAGGAGAACAUGAGCAGUGAAGAUUCACCUUAGAGCUAGAACAGAGACGUGCACAUGAUUAUACAGGGGCAGGGGCUCAAGUUUUUUCCAGUUGUUUAUACAAUAUGGAAAUUAAUGUGAAAUUAAAAAACAAAGUAUUAAUAGAAAGGUAAUGACUGUCCUGUGUAGGUGACAGUGAUAUCCAAUAGGCUAGGCACUCACGAGGCUGGCUGUGGCAAGUGUAAGUGAAAGCAACACGCACUGGCAGGAAGAACAGCAAACGCCGAUGAAGGAAAAGGGUCUUUGCAGUGAUGGGCGUUACCAGAGAGGGCGAUGGCCAGAGGACGCGAAUGGGACGGGGAGGCGGUCGCGCUGGGGGCGGCGCGACGCGGCUCGGGCCCGACAGUGCCCCACCGGGGCCCUAGUUCUUUCUUUAGGGCCCGAGCCAGCUGCAGAGCAGCCGGGCGUAGGCCCUAUUAUUCCCCAAGUGGUUUUUCUUUGUUUCUUUCUUUCUUUUUAGGGCCCGAGCGUAGCUGCUAAGCAGCUGCGAGAGCCCUAUUAUUCCUGAUGGAUUCUUCUUUCUUCUUCUUCUUCUUAUUAUUUUUCUGCCCCUUUGAACUGGAAAAUGGCCCACUUCCCACUGGUGAAAAGUCAUGAAAUUUGGCAGGACGACCGGGCCUGGUGAAAAAUUCGAUAUUCUGAAGUCGCCCAAACAAUAAAAUGCAAAAUGGCUCCAUAGCGCCCCCUAAGGUGAAAAUUCACACUAUUGACUAUCACGCCUGUACGCUUUGUCAUAUUGACACAAAAAUUGACACACACAUGUAUCUCAAUAAGAUCUACAAAAAAGUCAGUGCGGGCGUAUCUGUCAAAUGUACGGUUAAAGGGUUAUUUUGCAUUUUUUGCAGAUCCGCACACAUUGGAAUUUCGCUAACUCCUCCGAAGGCUUUCGUUCCACCGGCACCACAUUUGCUCAGGCCAAUCUACACUCCAUGGCCAUUCAAAGUUGUACAAAUCAUAAUGCUGCACCCCAUGGUUUAGGUUCUAGGGGGCGCCAAAAAUAACCCAAAAAUCCACAUUCUUAAAAGUUUUAUAAAUUUUUUUUUUUGUCCUCACUGGCCUCCAAGUUUUCUAGGAUGAUGCAAUGUCCAGCCAUCAACACAUUUGUGAAGGAAUUUUUACUCCCCAAAAGAGCGCCCCCCCAUGGCAGGACAAAAAAGUCCAUUUUUUCUUGUCCCAUAAGGUGAAAAUUCACACUAUUGACUGUCACGCCUGUACGCUUUGUCAUAUUGACACAAAAAUUGACACACACAUGUAUCUCAAUAAGGUCUACAAAAAAGUCAGUGCAGGCGUAUCUGUCAAAUGUACGGUUAAAGGGUUAUUUCGCAUUUUUUGCCGUUCCGCACACAUUGGAAUUUCGCUAACUCCUCCGAAGGCUUUCGUUCCACCGGCACUACAUUUGCUCAGGCCAAUCUACACCCCAUGGCCAUUCAAAGUUGUACAAAUCAUGACGCUGCACCCCACGGUUUACGUUCUAGGGGGCGCCAAAGAUAACCCACAAAUCCACAUUCUUAAAAAUCUUAUAACUUUUUAUUUUUGUCCUCAUUGGCCUCCAAGUUUUCUAGGAUGAUGCAAUGUCCAGCCAUCAACACAUUUGUGAAGGAAUUUUUACUCCCCAAAACAGCGCCCCCCCCAUGGCAGGACAAAAAAGGCCAUUUUUUCUUGUCCCCUAAGGUGAAAAUAAACAUUGUUCAGUGUCACGCCUGUACGCUUUGUCAUAUUGACACAAAAUUUGACACACACGUGUAUCUCAAUAAGAUCUACGAAAAAGUCAAUGGGCACAUAUCUGUAAAAUGUACGGUUAAAGGGCUAUCUUGCAUUUUUUGCCGAUUUUCACACAUUGGAAUGUGGCUAACUCCUCCUAAGGCUUUCGUUCUACUGACACCAAAUUUGCUCAGGCCAAUCUACACCCCAUGGCCAUUCAAAGUUGUACAAAUCAUGACGCUGCACCCCACGGUUUAGGUUUUAGGGGGCGCCAAAGAUGACCCAAAUAUCCACAUUUUUAAAAGUCUUAUAACUUUUUAUUUUUGUCCUCACUGGCCUCCAAGUUUUCUAGGAUGAUGCAAUGUGCAGCCAUCAACACAUCUGUGAAGGAAUUUUUUCUCCCCAAAAGAGCGCCCCCCCCAAUGGCAGGAGAAAAAGUCAAGUUUUUCCAGCCCAUCGCUUAAUGGCUCAAACGCAUUGCUCUCCCGCUAAAACCAAAAGGAGGAGCAACUUGCCAUUUGGAUAUGUCCUAGCUGUGUUUGUGCCCUCACUCAUGGUCCAGAGUUUUUUCAAAUAGGACAUGUAGUUUGUCUGCAGCGAGUGUUUUGGUAGAAACUGUGCCUCCCAUUCAUUAUAAUGGGAAAUGACCAAAGACAGGUGCGCACACCAUCUUUGGACCUUGACUUUGACGUCACAGUUUGAGAUACAAAUGUUAUUUGACCUCUGACCUUUGGUGGACACCCUAACCUUUCAACCCGCGAAAACGGCGUUUCAAUAGCUCUUACGGCUUUCCUACAAAUACACUUUGUUCAGCUACUCCUACUGUCCUUUAAGCUCUGCUUCUCAGAUCAUCAAAGAGUGUGCACGUGUGUAAUGAGCGCAUAUUGAAUGUUAAUUAUGUUAAAUAUGUUAAUUAUUAGAAGAAAAAACAACAACAGUCCUUUUGGACAAAAUUUCUUUUUAUUACAGAAUUAGAAUAAUGGAAGCAUAGUCCAAGGAAACCAUUCAAGUGAUGUCAUACCUCAUAAUUUAUUGAGAUGUUGGCUAGUCUGGGCAUUUCUUCAUUCAUCAGGUUUCCUGCAUGCAUACUAACAGAGCACAUCAGUAGCAGUGAGUGAUAAGUAUGAGUGUGUCAUUGUGUAAGAAAGAAAGUGGUUUACUUACACAUCCAUAGAAAAUAGGUGGUUGAGCACAGCACGCAAACAAAGCUUUGCCACAACGGUUGAACUUCCCAAGUAGCUGAUACCAAGGUCACACAAUCAUGGUGAGCAAAGGUCAAACCAGGCCAGGCACUCACGAGGCUGGCUGUGGCAAGUGUAAGUGAAAGCAACACGCAAUGGCAGGAAGAACAGCAAACACCGAUGAAGGAAAAGGGUCUUUGCAGUGAUGGGCGUCACCAGAGAGGGCGAUGGCCAGAGGGCACGAAUGGGACGGGGAGGCGGUCGCGCUGGGGGCGGCGCGACCCGGCUCGGGCCCGACAGUGCCCCAACGGGGCCCUAGUUAUUAUUUUUCCUCCCCUUUGAACUGGAAAAUGGCCCACUUCCCACGGGCGAAAACUCAUGAAAUUUGGCAGGACGAACGGGCCUGGUGAAAAAUUUGAUAUUCCGAAGUCGCCCAAACAAGAAAAUGCAAAAUGGCUCCAUAGCGCCCCCUAAGGUGAAAAUUCACACUAUUGACUGUCACGCGUGUACGCUUUGUCAAAAUGACACAAAAAUUGACACACACAUGUAUCUCAAUAAGAUCUACAAAAAAGUCAGUGCGGGCGUAUCUGUCAAAUGUACGGUUAAAGGGUUAUUUCGCAUUUUUUGCCGAUCCGCACACAUUGGAAUUUCGCUAACUCCUCCGAAGGCUUUCGUUCCACCGGCACCACAUUUGCUCAGGCCAAUCUACACCCCAUGGCCAUUCAAAGUUAUUCAAAUCAUGACGCUGCACCCCACGGUUUAGGUUCUAGGGGGCGCCAAAUAUAACCCUAAGAUCCACAUAUUUAAAAGUCUUAUAACUUUUUAUUUUUGCCCUCACUGGCCUCCAAGUUUUCUAGGAUGAUGCAAUGUCCAGCCAUCAACACAUUUGUGAAGGAAUUUUUACUCCCCAAAAGAGCGCCCCCCCAUGGCAGGAGAAAAAAGUCCAUUUUUUCUUGCCCCCUAAGGUGAAAAUACACAUUGUUGAGUGUAACACCUGUACGCUUUGGCAAAAUGACACAAAAAUUGACACACACAUGUAUCUCAAUAAAAUCUACGAAAAAGUCAAUGCGCGCGUAUCUGUCAAAUGUACGGUUAAAGGGUUAUUCCGCAUUUUUUGCCGAUCCGCACACAUUGGAAUUUCGCUAACUCCUCCGAAGGCUUUCGUUCCACCGGCACCACAUUUGCUCAGGCCAAUCUACACCCCAUGGCCAUUAAAAGUUAUUCAAAUCAUGACGCUGCACCCCACGGUUUAGGUUCUAGGGGGCGCCAAAGAUAACCCUAAAAUCCACAUAUUUAAAAGUCUUAUAACUUUUUAUUUUUGUCCUCACUGGCCUCCAAGUUUUCUAGGAUGAUGCAAUGUCCAGCCAUCAACACAUUUGUGAAGGAAUUUUUACUCCCCAAAAGAGCGCCCCCCCAUGGCAGGAGAAAAAAGUCAAUUUUUUCUUGUCCCCUAAGGUGGAAAUUCACACUAUUGACUGUCACGCCUGUACGCUUUAUCAUAUUGACACAAAAAUUGACACACAUAUGUAUCUCAAUAAGAUCUACAAAAAAGUCAAUGCGCGCGUAUCUGUCAAAUGUACGGUUAAAGGGUUAUUUUCCAUUUUUUGCCGAUUCGCACACAUUGGAAUGUGGCUAACUCCUCCUAAGGCUUUCGUCCCACUGACACCAAAUUUGCUCAGGCCAAUCUACACCCCAUGGCCAUUCAAAGUUGUAAAAAUCAUGACGCUGCACCCCACGGUUUACGUUCUAGGGGGCGCCAAAGAUGACCCAAAAAUCCACAUUCUUAAAGGAAUCCACAUCCCCCCCCCCCCCCCCCCCAAGGCAGGAGAAAAAGUCAAGUUAACCCUGCCCAUCGCUCAAUGGCUCAAUCGCAUCGCUCUCCAGGCAACACCGUAAGGAGGAGCAACCUGCCAUUUCGAUAUAUCAUAGCUGUGUUUGUGCCCUCACUCAUGGUCCAGACUUUUUUCAAAUAGGACAUGAAGUUUGUCUGCAGCGAGUAUUUUGGUAGAAACUGCGCCUCCCAUUCAUUAUAAUGGGAAAUGACCACAGACAAGUGCGCACACCAUCUUUGGACCUUGAGUGUGACGCGAUCGGGAGGGGGAGGCGGUCGCGCUGGGGGCAGCGCGACGCGGCUCGGGCCCGACAGUGCCCCACCGGGGCCCUAGUUUCUUUUUCCUCCCCUUUGAACUGGAAAAUGGCCCACUUCCCACUGGCGAAAACUCAUGAAAUUUUGCAGGACGACCGGGCCUGGUGAAAAAUUUGAUAUUCUGAAGUCGCCCAAAC
This is a non-coding RNA of Xyrichtys novacula (pearly razorfish), 10261 nucleotides long. Lineage: Eukaryota; Metazoa; Chordata; Actinopteri; Labriformes; Labridae. The record is from the annotation of a GenBank genome assembly.